Molecule: ribosomal RNA, 404 nt
Filed under: Helicoverpa armigera (cotton bollworm)
Lineage: Eukaryota; Metazoa; Arthropoda; Insecta; Lepidoptera; Noctuidae
Description: SSU rRNA
Rfam family: Eukaryotic small subunit ribosomal RNA
Source: RNAcentral
GUUCGAUUCCGGAGAGGGAGCCUGAGAAACGGCUACCACAUCCAAGGAAGGCAGCAGGCGCGCAAAUUACCCACUCCCGGCACGGGGAGGUAGUGACGAAAAAUAACGAUACGGGACUCUUACGAGGCCUCGUAAUCGGAAUGAGUACACUUUAAAUAUAUUGGAGGGCAAGUCUGGUGCCAGCAGCCGCGGUAAUUCCAGCUCCAAUAGCGUAUACUAAAAUUGUUGCGGUUAAAAAGCUCGUAGUUGCAUUUGUGCGCCGCGCUGUCGGUGCACCGCAUCCGCGGUGAUACUGACACGUCUGCGGAGCAUAUCGUCGGUGAGCCGGCGGUAAUACGCCGGUUCAUUAUCAAAAUCCUAUCGCGGUGCUCUUCGGUGAGUGUCGAGGUGGGCCGACAAUUUUA